CCUACGGGAGGCAGCAGUGGGGAAUAUUGCGCAAUGGGCGAAGCCUGACGCAGCAACGCCGCGUGCGGGAUGAAGGCCUUCGGGUUGUAAACCGCUUUCAGCAGGGACGAAGGAUUUCUGACGGUACCUGCAGAAGAAGCACCGGCUAACUACGUGCCAGCAGCCGCGGUAAU
RNAcentral lists this ribosomal RNA (173 nucleotides) under uncultured bacterium. Its description in RNAcentral is "partial 16S ribosomal RNA". It matches the Rfam family "Bacterial small subunit ribosomal RNA", at positions 338 to 524 of the family's 1533-position model. The record is from RNAcentral.